Molecule: unclassified non-coding RNA, 290 nt
Filed under: Sordariomycetes sp.
Lineage: Eukaryota; Fungi; Ascomycota; Sordariomycetes
Also listed under: 1 other name
Description: partial contains 5.8S ribosomal RNA, internal transcribed spacer 2, and large subunit ribosomal RNA
Rfam family: 5.8S ribosomal RNA (bases 1-71)
Source: RNAcentral
GUGAAUCAUCGAAUCUUUGAACGCACAUUGCGCCCAUUAGUAUUCUAGUGGGCAUGCCUGUUCGAGCGUCAUUUCAACCCUUAAGCCCUUGUUGCUUAGCGUUGGGAGCCUACGGCACCGUAGCUCCCCAAAGUCAGUGGCGGAGCCGGCUCACACUCUAGACGUAGUAAUUACUCACCUCGCCUAUAGUUGGACCGGUCCCCUGCCGUAAAACGCCCCAGUAUCUAAAAGGUUGACCUCGAAUCAGGUAGGAAUACCCGCUGAACUUAAGCAUAUCAAUAAGCGGAGGA